UCUAGCAUGUGCGCGAGUCAUUGGGACUUUUUUUUAGGAAAGCCCAGAGGCGCAAUGAAAGUGAAGAUCGGCCUUUUCGGCUCGAUCGAGGGAGGAUGACUCGUUGUUAUUUUAUAAUGAAGAGUUCGCACUCCCGGGGCGUCUCGGCGCUCAUUUCGAGCGGAGGCGCACCCAGAGCGUACACGCUGGGACCCGAAAGAUGGUGAACUAUGCCUGGUCAGGACGAAGUCAGGGGAAACCCUGAUGGAGGUCCGUAGCGAUUCUGACGUGCAAAUCGAUCGUCGGAACUGGGUAUAGGGGCGAAAGACUAAUCGAACCAUC
This 321-nucleotide ribosomal RNA is filed under the name Tricoryna sp. UCRC ENT00092241. RNAcentral describes it as "eukaryotic LSU rRNA". It matches the Rfam family "Eukaryotic large subunit ribosomal RNA", at positions 674 to 944 of the family's 3401-position model. The record is from RNAcentral. Lineage: Eukaryota; Metazoa; Arthropoda; Insecta; Hymenoptera; Eucharitidae.